GAUGAACGCUGGCGGCGUGCCUAAUACAUGCAAGUCGAGCGAACAGACGAGGAGCUUGCUCCUCUGAUGUUAGCGGCAGACGGGUGAGUAACACGUGGAUAACCUACCUAUAAGACUGGGAUAACUUCGGGAAACCGGAGCUAAUACCGGAUAACAUGUUGAACCGCAUGGUUCAACAGUGAAAGACGGUCUUGCUGUCACUUAUAGAUGGAUCCGCGCCGCAUUAGCUAGUUGGUAAGGUAACGGCUUACCAAGGCAACGAUGCGUAGCCGACCUGAGAGGGUGAUCGGCCACACUGGAACUGAGACACGGUCCAGACUCCUACGGGAGGCAGCAGUAGGGAAUCUUCCGCAAAGGGCGAAAGCCUGACGGAGCAACGCCGCGUGAGUGAAGAAGGUCUUCGGAUCGUAAAACUCUGUUAUUAGGGAAGAACAAAUGUGUAAGUAACUAUGCACGUCUUGACGGUACCUAAUCAGAAAGCCACGGCUAACUACGUG
This 497-nucleotide ribosomal RNA is filed under the name uncultured bacterium. RNAcentral describes it as "partial 16S ribosomal RNA". It matches the Rfam family "Bacterial small subunit ribosomal RNA", at positions 28 to 507 of the family's 1533-position model. The record is from RNAcentral.